Molecule: microRNA precursor, 102 nt
Filed under: Prunus dulcis (almond)
Lineage: Eukaryota; Viridiplantae; Streptophyta; Magnoliopsida; Rosales; Rosaceae
Description: sRNA ncRNA
Source: RNAcentral
UAAAAUAUAGUUAAAGGGUAUAGCCGCCCGGCUGUACUCUUUAAAGAUUAAAAUAAAAUUAAAGAGUAUAGCCGCGCGGCUAUACUCGUUAAAUAUUAAAAU